Molecule: ribosomal RNA, 468 nt
Filed under: uncultured bacterium
Lineage: Bacteria
Description: partial 16S ribosomal RNA
Rfam family: Bacterial small subunit ribosomal RNA
Source: RNAcentral
GACGAACGCUGGCGGCGUGCUUAACACAUGCAAGUCGAACGGAAAGGCCCUGCUUUUGUGGGGUGCUCGAGUGGCGAACGGGUGAGUAACACGUGAGUAACCUGCCCUUGACUUUGGGAUAACUUCAGGAAACUGGGGCUAAUACCGGAUAGGAGCUCCUGCUGCAUGGUGGGGGUUGGAAAGUUUCGGCGGUUGGGGAUGGACUCGCGGCUUAUCAGCUUGUUGGUGGGGUAGUGGCUUACCAAGGCUUUGACGGGUAGCCGGCCUGAGAGGGGGACCGGCCACAUUGGGACUGAGAUACGGCGCAGACUCCUACGGGAGGCAGCAGUGGGGAAUAUUGCACAAUGGGCGGAAGCCUGAUGCAGCAACGCCGCGUGCGGGAUGACGGCCUUCGGGUUGUAAACCGCUUUCGCCUGUGACGAAGCGUGAGUGACGGUAAUGGGUAAAGAAGCACCGGCUAACUACGUG